RNAcentral lists this ribosomal RNA (253 nucleotides) under uncultured bacterium. RNAcentral's name for it is "partial 16S ribosomal RNA". It matches the Rfam family "Bacterial small subunit ribosomal RNA", at positions 524 to 776 of the family's 1533-position model. The record is from RNAcentral.
UACAGAGGUCCCAAGCGUUGUUCGGAUUCACUGGGCGUAAAGGGUGCGUAGGCGGUCGGGUAAGUCUGAUGUGAAAUCUCGCAGCUUAACUGCGAAACUGCAUUGGAUACUAUCCGGCUCGAGGAAUGGAGGGGAGACUGGAAUACUUGGUGUAGCAGUGAAAUGCGUAGAUAUCAAGUGGAACACCAGUGGCGAAGGCGAGUCUCUGGACAUUUCCUGACGCUGAGGCACGAAAGCCAGGGGAGCAAACGGG